AGGAGGAACAACCGCAGUGGUGGGGCCAGCUCUGGAGCCUUGGAGUCAGCUCCCAUAGGAACUACUGAGCUCUUGAUCUGCAGGGCCUGGAGGCUCCGGGGCAGG
RNAcentral lists this microRNA precursor (105 nucleotides) under Canis lupus dingo (dingo). RNAcentral describes it as "mir-8834 microRNA precursor family". It matches the Rfam family "mir-8834 microRNA precursor family". The record is from Rfam by way of RNAcentral. Lineage: Eukaryota; Metazoa; Chordata; Mammalia; Carnivora; Canidae.